Molecule: long non-coding RNA, 2454 nt
Filed under: Homo sapiens (human)
Lineage: Eukaryota; Metazoa; Chordata; Mammalia; Primates; Hominidae
Description: long independently transcribed non-coding RNA 2961 (LINC02961)
Source: RNAcentral
GGCGUCUGGACACCCUUCAUCUUUUAGCCGUUGCCCUGUUCUUGGUGAACUGCUUGUUAGGACCAAAAGUGGCCCACCCCUUUCUCUGGGACAGUGCAGAGCACCGGGGCCAGAGGCUCAAAGCACCUCCAAGCUGAGAUCAGAGACUUUGGAUAUCGUUGAUCCAGAGGCUUCCAAACUUUUCCUGGUGAUUGAAUUCUUACCAUGAAAUCCAGUGAGGAGCUCCAAUGCCUCAAGCAGAUGGAAGAGGAACUGCUCUUCUUGAAGGCAGGGCAGGGCUCUCAGAGGGCAAGACUCACCCCACCCCUGCCACGGGCUCUCCAGGGUAACUUUGGAGCCCCAGCACUCUGUGGAAUAUGGUUCGCAGAACACUUGCAUCCUGCUGUUGGGAUGCCCCCAAACUAUAAUAGCAGCAUGCUCAGUCUUUCACCAGAAAGAACCAUCUUAUCUGGAGGAUGGUCAGGAAAACAAACUCAACAGCCAGUGCCUCCCCUCAGAACUCUGCUCCUGAGGUCUCCUUUCAGUCUGCAUAAGUCCUCCCAACCUGGGAGCCCCAAAGCUUCUCAGCGGAUCCAUCCCCUCUUCCAUUCUAUCCCAAGGUCUCAGCUGCAUUCUGUUCUGCUUGGUCUUCCUCUCCUCUUCAUACAGACUAGACCUUCACCCCCUGCCCAGUAUGGCGCGCAAAUGCCAUUGAGAUACAUUUGUUUUGGUCCCAAUAUCUUUUGGGGCUCCAAAAAGCCCCAGAAAGAGUAAUGCCUUCAGCCAUGGCCCAUGUGAUGACUUUUCCCAGAGACAGCCCCAUGGGUCAGUGAUCGCCGGUGGGAGGUCUCCCCAGCCUCCCUUCAAGCCUUCAAGUCUGUGUAGAGGCGCCUUCUCUUCUCUGGGCAUUCCCCGCUUUGUUGCAGAGAAAUUAUUUUCUACUCAGCGGCUUUCAGGUAGAGAGAGAAAGUGCAUGCGGUAUGAAGGAUGUGAAGAUGGAGGGCUUGACGUCGUGGGUCAUGUUUUGUGGUUAAUUCCCCCACAUAACAAAACAGUGAGCAAAUGUUUAUAAACAGGAACUCAGUGUUUCAGUGAUGAAAGCCUCUGGCCUCGCCACACUGAUUGCUGGUGUGCGCGCACACACACACUCACACACCCUGUUUUUCUUACACACACACAGCUUCAUGGAGCAGAGAGCUGGAAAGGGUGUCCAGAAUGGUGGAUCAGGCUUAUUAUUAUUACUUUUUUUAUCUCCACCAAACUCUCUCCUUAAGCCCCAGCAGCCCAACCCCCCCCCGCACCAGACAGCAUAUCGAAGGAGUAAGCUGCAGGUCAGCCUAUAUUUUAGGCAGAAAAUUAGGCAACCUUGGGAGAGACCGGUUUCCAGCAGACACGCACGGACGCGAUGGUGAGGUUGGGCUGAGACGGUCCUUCCUGGAUGCAGUCACCCUCCCCAUCCCGAGUUUUACUCCCUGGGGGGAUUGUGGUGGGUGCCUGGCCUCCUCUCCCACCAGCGCACUGCCCCAAGCUUGCCUAGGUAGUAUCAGCACUGGGGUGAGGGAUGCAAUGCGGGUUUAUAGUUGGCUGUGGGGACUUCUGAUUUCUCCACCCCAUAGAUGAUAAACGACCGCGGGGCUUCCUCUCCCAGGUCUUUCCUCACUCUCCUUCGUCUUUCCCUCUUUCUCCAUGGGAAAGGUAGAAUGAGACUUGCCACCAGGGACAUCCAGGCACAUUCCUCUUCCCAAUCAGCCUCUACCCAUUCUCUUUCUGUCUCGUGUGUAUCAGUGGCAUUUUCUUGUGUAGCUUCCCAGAUUUGCAAACCCGCUCCACAUCCUGGACGCAGACCCCCUUCGCUGGCUCUAUGAAGGCUUCACGUUCCUGGGGCAUUCGAGACUUGACUUUCCAGAGCAACUUUGGAUCCACCCUGUUACCCUUUUUUUUGUUUUGUUUUGUUUUGAGAGGGAGUCUCGCUGUGUUGUCCAGGCUGGAGUGCAGUGGUGUGAUCUCGGCUUACUGCAACCUCCGCCUACUGGGUUCAAGUGAUUCUCUUGCCUCAAUCUCCCCAGUACCUGGGAUUACAGGUAGACACCAUCACGCCUGGCUAAUUUUUGUAUUUUUAGUAAAGACAGGGUUUCAUCAUGUUGGCCUGGCUGGUCUCAAACUCCUGACCUCAGGCGAUCCGCCCGCCUCAGCCUCCCAAAGUUCUGGGAUUACAAGUGUGAACCACCGUGCCCAACCUCCCCUCGUUUUUGACCUUUGUCCCCAAAUGUCUUUCAUCCAGUUACUAGGACUUGUAGCCUUUUUGCAAAUAGGUAUCUGUAAGCAUAGAAGAAUAGGGUGAUUUGUGAAGUGACCCUUAGUGGCAUCUGUGGCGGUCCUACUAAUCAGAUUUGCAGAAGAAACACGGAAACAAGGAAACUCCUCUCUUAUAUUAAAAUAAAUAAGGUUUUUAAUUUCAAAAAAAAAAAAAAAAAA